AACAGGCACAGGAACAGGAACAGGAACAGACAGCCUUUCAUCCCAGAGAAAUUGUGGAUGACUCAUCACUGAAGUGUUCAGAUUGGAUGGGGCUUUGAGGAACCAGCUCUAGUGGAAGGUGUCCAGUGGUCUGAACUAGAUAAAUCAAUGUCUCUGCAGAGGCAUCAGGGAACCCACAAAGCAAACAACGCUAGAAGGCAGUUUUCAGUUUGGUGAAAGAGUAAGUUUUACAGCUCUAUGAAGAAUGAUAGAAAAUUCAAUUGCUACCCGAAGACUAGCAAGCUAAUAGCUGUGGCUUGUCAUCAAGCCCAUCAAUAAUAUCAGAUUUGGAAACAAGGAAGGACAAUGGUUCCUGGCUGAUGGAAGACACAUGCCUUAAAGAGCACAUCUUGCAAAAAAAAAAAAAAAAGUACUAGAGAAAAUAUCAU
This 428-nucleotide long non-coding RNA is filed under the name Anas platyrhynchos platyrhynchos (common mallard). RNAcentral describes it as "lncRNA (ENSAPLG00000023378.1)". Lineage: Eukaryota; Metazoa; Chordata; Aves; Anseriformes; Anatidae. The record is from RNAcentral.